Molecule: long non-coding RNA, 896 nt
Filed under: Homo sapiens (human)
Lineage: Eukaryota; Metazoa; Chordata; Mammalia; Primates; Hominidae
Description: SOCS3 divergent transcript (SOCS3-DT)
Source: RNAcentral
GGGGCGCCGCUUCGGGAGAGCGGGCAGUUCUAGGAGGCCGACCUGGAGAGCCUCCCGGUUCCCCUUCCCCUUUUCCCGGACCCCGCGGGGACACCCCCUCGCCGCCACCCGGGCCUCCCCGAGGGCCCAACUGCGGGUCAGGCGGCCCGGGCCAGCCGAAAGGGAAGUGGGGCUACCCCACAGCCAGGCAGCGGGGCUGGGGUCAGACCCGGGAGCCGGAGGUUGGAGACGUGCGACAGUCACCUGCGGGCAGAUUCCAGAGGGGAGACCCAGGGCUGCAGGGGACGCCCCUUCGUGGCAGCUACCCAGCCUCGGCCCACUGCCAGGCGGAGGCGAGAGGAUCACUUGAGCAUGGACAUUCAAGACCAGCCUGGGCAGCAAAUGUUACGUGGCUGCAUGACCAUACACUUCUGGGUAGAGCCCAGUGGAAGACAAAGAAGACUCAAGGAAUAGCCCUUGAGGGCUCAGGAGCUAUACAGAUGGGAUAGAGGGUGUGAGUGCUGGGAAGCCCCAUCCAUGGCUCGCUGGAGAUUAGAGGCCUGUUAAUCUGAAGACAAAGGAAUGAAGACGAAAACGUUUCUGAAAAUGUGGGUGGAGACACCUGGGCCUUUACAGGGUACGCUCCAGAGCUGCUUCCAGGCAGGGACCCCGGCUGAGAGAAGCCAGAGCCAGAGAGUCGCAGGCUUGCUUGCUCUUAUCUUCCCUCUGCUGGGGGGGUCGAGGGGAGAUCUGGCCCCUCUGCUCUGCCCUCCUGAUUUCCCGUCUAAGGGAUUUAGGAGACUUUUGCCUUUUCCUAAUCUCUCCCUUUGCAGAAUUUCUGCGAAGUCACAAUCCCAUUUCCAGGCAAAGGUGCUUGGUCAUAAAGAUAAUAAAGAUAUUCAUUCAUGAUGGAGGGG